Molecule: long non-coding RNA, 194 nt
Organism: Alosa alosa (allis shad)
Lineage: Eukaryota; Metazoa; Chordata; Actinopteri; Clupeiformes; Clupeidae
Exons: 3
Source: RefSeq, a predicted model, not a curated record
GUGUCCUGUCCCGAGGAGGCCUUCCUGCAGGCCUUCAGGCUGCUCAGAGACGAUGACUGGGAGCAGAAGAUUGAGGCCCUGAUCUCCAUCAGGUCUCUGUCCCAGCACCACGCUGAGGUGCUGCUGCCCAGGCUGCAUGAUGUGUGUCUGGUCGUCUACCACGAGGUGAAGAACCUGCGCUCCAUGGUUUCCCG